This 71-nucleotide transfer RNA is filed under the name Bos taurus (domestic cattle). It matches the Rfam family "tRNA". Rfam says of the family: Transfer RNA (tRNA) molecules are approximately 80 nucleotides in length. Their secondary structure includes four short double-helical elements and three loops (D, anti-codon, and T loops). The record is from Rfam by way of RNAcentral. RNAcentral also lists the same sequence under 5 other names. Lineage: Eukaryota; Metazoa; Chordata; Mammalia; Artiodactyla; Bovidae.
CCCUGGUGGCUCAGAGGGUAAAGCAUCUGCCUGCAAUGCGGGAGACCCAGGUUGGAUCCCUGGGUCAGGGA